This 504-nucleotide long non-coding RNA is filed under the name Mytilus galloprovincialis (Mediterranean mussel). The record is from RNAcentral. Lineage: Eukaryota; Metazoa; Mollusca; Bivalvia; Mytilida; Mytilidae.
CGGACGGACGGACAGACAGACGGACACCGGACAUUUGUAUACCAUAAUACGUCCCGUCAAAAUUUUGACGGGCGUAUAAAAAUGGCCUCGCCGUACCUUGACCUAUAAUGGUUUACUUUUAUAAAUUGUUACUUGGAUGGAGAGUUGUCUCAUUUGAACUCAUACCACAUCUUCCUAUAUCUAUCAAUGAUAAAUUCAAAAUUUACAUUUAUAGUUUUGUAGUUUAAAUGUUGAAACAAUAUAGCAAAGAUACUCGCAGAUUCAAAACGAACCUAUGCAGCGCCGUCGACGUUGAGGACAGUUUGUGGGGGAGGGGCUAUACAAGGCACGACUUUUAAUAGUUUAUGACACACAAUCCUUGGAUUCUUAAUAUCUCUGUACUAACCACUUUUAAUAUACACUUUAAACAUUGCUACCCUUGUCACUUUCUUUUCAUGAGCAUGAUAAGCGUUAAUAAGAAAAUGCAUUGUCAUACAUAUAAUGCCUAUUAUUUUUAAAGAAAUC